RNAcentral lists this ribosomal RNA (492 nucleotides) under uncultured bacterium. Its description in RNAcentral is "partial 16S ribosomal RNA". It matches the Rfam family "Bacterial small subunit ribosomal RNA", at positions 29 to 507 of the family's 1533-position model. The record is from RNAcentral.
AGUGAACGCUGGCGGUAGGCCUAACACAUGCGAGUCGAACGGCAGCACAGUAAGAGCUUGCUCUUACGGGUGGCGAGUGGCGGACGGGUGAGGAAUACAUCGGAAUCUACUUUUUCGUGGGGGAUAACGUAGGGAAACUUACGCUAAUACCGCAUACGACCUACGGGUGAAAGCAGGGGAUCUUCGGACCUUGCGCGAUUGAAUGAGCCGAUGUCGGAUUAGCUAGUUGGCGGGGUAAAGGCCCACCAAGGCGACGAUCCUUAGCUGGUCUGAGAGGAUGAUCAGCCACACUGGAACUGAGACACGGUCCAGACUCCUACGGGGGGCAGCAGUGGGGAAUAUUGGACAAUGGGCGCAAGCCUGAUCCAGCCAUACCGCGUGGGUGAAGAAGGCCUUCGGGUUGUAAAGCCCUUUUGUUGGGAAAGAAAAGCAGCAGGUUAAUACCCCGCUGUUCUGACGGUACCCAAAGAAUAAGCACCGGCUAACUUCGUG